This 106-nucleotide vault RNA is filed under the name Xyrichtys novacula (pearly razorfish). It matches the Rfam family "Vault RNA". From Rfam's summary of the family: This family of RNAs are found as part of the enigmatic vault ribonucleoprotein complex. Lineage: Eukaryota; Metazoa; Chordata; Actinopteri; Labriformes; Labridae. The record is from RNAcentral.
GCACUGGUUUAGCUCAGUGGUUACUUCGAACAUCAAUUCUACCUGAAGAAUUCGCUGCUCUCCAUCCCUCCUCGGGAUCGAACCACGGGCGCUGUCCAGUGCUUUU